RNAcentral lists this ribosomal RNA (495 nucleotides) under uncultured bacterium. RNAcentral's name for it is "partial 16S ribosomal RNA". It matches the Rfam family "Bacterial small subunit ribosomal RNA", at positions 28 to 507 of the family's 1533-position model. The record is from RNAcentral.
GACGAACGCUGGCGGCGUGCCUAAUACAUGCAAGUAGAACGCUGAAGGCGGAGCUUGCUCUUCUGGAUGAGUUGCGAACGGGUGAGUAACGCGUAGGUACCCUGCCUGGUAGCGGGGGAUAACUAUUGGAAACGAAAGCUAAUACCGCAUAACAGUAGAUGUUGCAUGACAUUUACUUAAAAGGUGCAAUUGCAUCACUACCAGAUGGACCUGCGUUGUAUUAGCUAGUUGGUGGGGUAACGGCUCACCAAGGCGACGAUACAUAGCCGACCUGAGAGGGUGAUCGGCCACACUGGGACUGAGACACGGCCCAGACUCCUACGGGAGGCAGCAGUAGGGAAUCUUCGGCAAUGGACGGAAGUCUGACCGAGCAACGCCGCGUGAGUGAAGAAGGUUUUCGGAUCGUAAAGCUCUGUUGUAAGAGAAGAACGAGUGUGAGAGUGGAAAGUUCACACUGUGACGGUAUCUUACCAGAAAGGGACGGCUAACUACGUG